RNAcentral lists this unclassified non-coding RNA (325 nucleotides) under Hevea brasiliensis (rubber tree). The record is from RNAcentral. Lineage: Eukaryota; Viridiplantae; Streptophyta; Magnoliopsida; Malpighiales; Euphorbiaceae.
UACAGACCUUUAUAUACCAUCUGCAUAGAAGAUAUAACUAAAGAAUUACCAUAUGCAAGAAAAAUCAGCAGUAGAACAUGAGAUUCUUUACAUUCUCACUGAGCUUUGGCAGAGGUGUUGCCUUCGGUGGAGCAGCUCUUGAGAUUGUACAAACGUUUCUCUUUGAAGCCAUGGACUCAGAUCGUUCAAUGUAAAGUCUGCCCCUGUAUGCAGCUAAGUGGGCAUAGUAAGCGGGAGGAACCAAAGAAACUGGCUUGGUGCACCUUACAAAUGUGUAGCAGAGAUUGUAAACUAACUUUUGUAAUUCAUCAGAAGUGAACUGGCU